UACGUAGGGGGCUAGCGUUAUCCGGAUUUACUGGGCGUAAAGGGUGCGUAGGUGGUUUCUUAAGUCAGGAGUGAAAGGCUACGGCUCAACCGUAGUAAGCUCUUGAAACUGGGAAACUUGAGUGCAGGAGAGGAAAGUGGAAUUCCUAGUGUAGCGGUGAAAUGCGUAGAUAUUAGGAGGAACACCAGUAGCGAAGGCGGCUUUCUGGACUGUAACUGACACUGAGGCACGAAAGCGUGGGGAGCAAA
Molecule: ribosomal RNA, 248 nt
Filed under: uncultured Terrisporobacter sp.
Lineage: Bacteria; Bacillati; Bacillota; Clostridia; Peptostreptococcales; Peptostreptococcaceae
Description: partial 16S ribosomal RNA
Rfam family: Bacterial small subunit ribosomal RNA
Source: RNAcentral